CCUACGGGGGGCAGCAGUGGGGAAUAUUGCGCAAUGGGCGAAAGCCUGACGCAGCGACGCCGCGUGCGGGAUGAAGGUCUUCGGAUCGUAAACCUCUGUCAGCAGGGAAGAAAGGUCACUGUGCUAAUCAGCAGUGAAUUGACGGUACCUGCAAAGGAAGCACCGGCUAACUCCGUGCCAGCAGCCGCGGUAAUACGGAGGGUGCGAGCGUUACUCGGAAUUACUGGGCGUAAAGCGCUCGUAGGCGGUAUGUCAAGUCAAGGGUGAAAGCCCCGCGCUCAACGUGGGAACUGCCUUUGAAACUGGCAAACUGGAGUGUGUGAGAGGAUAGUGGAAUUCCAGGUGUAGGAGUGAAAUCCGUAGAUAUCUGGAGGAACAUCAGUGGCGAAGGCGACUAUCUGGCACAUAACUGACGCUGAGGAGCGAAAGCGUGGGUAGCAAACAGGAUUAGAUACCCUAGUAGUC
RNAcentral lists this ribosomal RNA (465 nucleotides) under uncultured bacterium. RNAcentral's name for it is "partial 16S ribosomal RNA". It matches the Rfam family "Bacterial small subunit ribosomal RNA", at positions 338 to 795 of the family's 1533-position model. The record is from RNAcentral.